RNAcentral lists this small nucleolar RNA (76 nucleotides) under Scopulibacillus darangshiensis. Its description in RNAcentral is "Small nucleolar RNA SNORD34". Lineage: Bacteria; Bacillati; Bacillota; Bacilli; Caryophanales; Sporolactobacillaceae. The record is from RNAcentral.
UGAACUCAAGGAAUUACACAAGUUAUUGCCUACAUUGUUUGAUGUUGCACAGAAGGGUCAAAAUGUUGAAGGUGCA